CCUACGGGAGGCAGCAGUGGGGAAUAUUGGACAAUGGGCGAAAGCCUGAUCCAGCCAUGCCGCGUGUGUGAAGAAGGCCUUCGGGUUGUAAAGCACUUUCAGUGGGGAAGAAAGCCUUGGGGCUAAUACCCUCGAGGAAGGACAUCACCCACAGAAGAAGCACCGGCUAACUCCGUGCCAGCAGCCGCGGUAAUACGGAGGGUGCGAGCGUUAAUCGGAAUUACUGGGCGUAAAGCGCGCGUAGGCGGUCUGAUAAGCCGGUUGUGAAAGCCCCGGGCUCAACCUGGGAACGGCAUCCGGAAAGGGGCAGGCAAGAGGGAAGGAGAGGAAGGUGGAAUCCCGGGGGGAGGGGUGAAAUGCGUAGAGAUCGGGAAGAAAACCAGUGGAGAAGGCGGCUUAUUGGACUUACAUUGACGCUGAGGUGCGAAAGCGUGGGAAGCAACCAGGAUUAGAUACCCGAGUAGUC
RNAcentral lists this ribosomal RNA (466 nucleotides) under Vreelandella stevensii. RNAcentral's name for it is "partial 16S ribosomal RNA". It matches the Rfam family "Bacterial small subunit ribosomal RNA", at positions 338 to 795 of the family's 1533-position model. Lineage: Bacteria; Pseudomonadati; Pseudomonadota; Gammaproteobacteria; Oceanospirillales; Halomonadaceae. The record is from RNAcentral.